AUACUAUCCUGGCAGGGGAAAUACAGUGAUAGAGAUGGUGGUUCACCACAGGCACAGCUGUCAUUGCACUCCGAUUGUGCUGACCACUGCACAUUCCCCAAAAGUGGGAAUCUUGACUAAGUUUUGGUAGUGGGUGACUGUGUUUGUGCUCUCCCCUG
Molecule: small nuclear RNA, 158 nt
Organism: Paramormyrops kingsleyae
Lineage: Eukaryota; Metazoa; Chordata; Actinopteri; Osteoglossiformes; Mormyridae
Gene: U1
Rfam family: U1 spliceosomal RNA
About the family: U1 is a small nuclear RNA (snRNA) component of the spliceosome (involved in pre-mRNA splicing). Its 5' end forms complementary base pairs with the 5' splice junction, thus defining the 5' donor site of an intron.
Source: Ensembl